GCCUCGGUGGUUCGAUGGUAGAGCACGCGCCUCCGGUUAGGAUGAGACGCGGGUUCGAUUCCCGCUCGAGGCC
Non-coding RNA from Parelaphostrongylus tenuis, 73 nucleotides. The record is from the annotation of a GenBank genome assembly. Lineage: Eukaryota; Metazoa; Nematoda; Chromadorea; Rhabditida; Metastrongylidae.